CGUCAGGAAGCUAAAUCAGGACACAGCGUUAGCCUUUUAAGCUAAAGAUUGGUGACUCCAACCACCCCUGGCGA
Oryzias melastigma (Indian medaka) is the source of this 74-nucleotide non-coding RNA. Lineage: Eukaryota; Metazoa; Chordata; Actinopteri; Beloniformes; Adrianichthyidae. The record is from the annotation of a RefSeq genome assembly.